RNAcentral lists this non-coding RNA (29 nucleotides) under Homo sapiens (human). The record is from RNAcentral. Lineage: Eukaryota; Metazoa; Chordata; Mammalia; Primates; Hominidae.
UUGAGGCGGGAGGACUGCUUGAGGCCAGG